AUUGAACGCUGGCGGUAGGCCUAACACAUGCAAGUCGAACGAGUGGCGGACGGGUGAGGAAUACAUAGGAAUCUCCUCUGUCGUUGGGGAUAACGUAGGGCAACUUACGCUCAUACCGCAUACGCGUGAAUGCGCCGGUGUCGGCUUAGCUAGUUGGCGGGGUAAAGGCCCACCCAGGCGACGGUACGUAGCUGGUCUGAGAGGAUGAUCAGCCACACUGGAACUGAGACACGGUCCAGACUACUACGGGAGGAAGCAGUGGGGAAUAUUGGACAAUGGGCGAAAGCCUGAUCCAGCCAUACCGCGUGGGUGAAGAAGGCCUUCGGGUUGUAAAGCCCUUUUGUUGGGAAAGCGGUACCCAAAGAAUAAGCACCGGCUAACUUCGUGCCAGCAGCCGCGGUAAUAC
Molecule: ribosomal RNA, 406 nt
Filed under: uncultured bacterium
Lineage: Bacteria
Description: partial 16S ribosomal RNA
Rfam family: Bacterial small subunit ribosomal RNA
Source: RNAcentral